GUAGUCAUACGCUCGUCUCAAAGAUUAAGCCAUGCAUGUCUAAGUAUAAGCAACUUAUACUGUGAAACUGCGAACGGCUCAUUAUAUCAGUUAUAGUUUAUUUGAUAAUGUUUUUUUUGAAACUACUUGGAUAAUAAUACAUGCACUUUAAGGCCCAACUUUCUUUCGGGGAAGAAGGGUUGUAUUUAUUAGAUAUAAACCAAUGCUCGUUUCGGCGAGGUUUUGUGGUGAAUCAUAAUAACUAAGCGAAUCGUAUGCCCUUGUGGUGACGAUGAAUCAUUCAAGUUUCUGCCCUAUCAGCUGUCGACGGUAGUGUAUUGGACUACCGUGGCGUCAACGGGUAACGUAGGAUCAGGGUUCGAUAACGGAGAGGGAGCAUGAGAAACGGCUACCACAUCUAAGGAAGGCAGCAGGCGCGUAAAUUACCCAAUCCUAAUACCACGGGGAGGUAGUGACAAAAAAUAACAAUGCGGGGCCUUUGGUCUUGCAAUUGGAAUGAGUACAAUUUAAAUCCCUUAACGAGGAUCAAUUGGAGGGCAAGUCUGGUGCCAGCAGCCGCGGUAAUUCCAGCUCCAAUAGCGUAUAUUAAUGUUGUUGCAGUUAAAAAGCUCGUAGUUGGAUUUCUGACAGGAGCGACCGGUCCGAGCAUUCGUGUUGUAUCUGGUUCGGCUUUGGCAUCCUCGUGGGGUACGUAACUGUGCUUGGUUGCAUGGUGCGGAAUUCACGACUUUUACUUUGAGGAAAUUAGAGUGUUCACGGCAGGCAUGAGCCUUGAAUACAUUAGCAUGGAAUAAUAUAUAGGACUUUGGUUUUAUUUGUUGGUUCUAGAACUAAAGUAAUGAUUAAUAGGGAUGUUGGGGGCGUUUGUAUUGAGAUGUCAGAGGUGAAAUUCUUAGAUUAUCUCAAGACAAACUUCUGCGAAAGCAUUCGCCUAGGAUGUUUUCAUCAAUCAAGAACGAAAGUUGGGGGAUCGAAGACGAUCAGAUACCGUCGUAGUCUCAACCAUAAACUAUGCCGACCAAGGAUUAGAAUGUUACAUUUACAUGACUUCCCCAGCACUUUGCGUGAAAACAGAGUCUUUGGGUUCCGGGGGGAGUAUGGUCGCAAGGCUGAAACUUAAAGGAAUUGACGGAAGGGCACCACCAGGCGUGGAGCCUGCGGCUUAAUUUGACUCAACACGGGGAAACUUACCAGGUCCAGACAGCGUAAGGAUUGACAGAUUGAGAGCUCUUUCUUGAUUCGUUGGGUGGUGGUGCAUGGCCGUUCUUAGUUGGUGGUGUGAAUUGUCUGGUUGAUUCCGUUAACGAACGAGACCUUCGCCUACUAAAUAGUUACACGUAACUUCGGUUACGCGGGCAACUUCUUAGAGGGACUUUGUGUGUCUAACGCAAGGAAGUUUGAGGCAAUAACAGGUCUGUGAUGCCCUUAGAUGUUCUGGGCUGCACGCGCGCUACACUGAUGCGCUCAACGAGUUUAUGACCUUGCCCGGAAGGGUUGGGUAAUCUAUCCAAAACGCAUCGUGAUGGGGAUAGAUUAUUGCAAUUAUUAAUCUUCAACGAGGAAUUCCUAGUAAGCGCGAGUCAUCAGCUCGUGCUGAUUACGUCCCUGCCCU
This 1612-nucleotide ribosomal RNA is filed under the name uncultured eukaryote. RNAcentral's name for it is "partial small subunit ribosomal RNA". It matches the Rfam family "Eukaryotic small subunit ribosomal RNA", at positions 20 to 1659 of the family's 1831-position model. The record is from RNAcentral.